Tachysurus vachellii is the source of this 2477-nucleotide RNA transcript. It is a transcript of the gene named ArfGAP with FG repeats 1b, with no coding region annotated. NCBI's taxonomy places the organism in Eukaryota, Metazoa, Chordata, Actinopteri, Siluriformes, Bagridae. The transcript is spliced from 12 exons. The record is from RefSeq and is a predicted model, not a curated record.
GUUCCUUCACACACACACACACACACACAGUGAAGAGGAGCAGCUUGUGUUUAUGGUGUAAACUCCGUGUUAUUAACAGGACUGAUUCCCGUCAUGGCGGUGAGUGUAAAGCGCAAACAGGAGGAGAAACACCUACAGCUGCUGCGUGAGAUGACCAGCGGGGCCGCCAACCGGAAAUGUUUCGACUGUGAGCAGCGCGGCCCGACAUACGUCAACAUGACCGUGGGCUCGUUCGUGUGUACCACCUGCUCCGGCAUCCUACGAGGCCUGAACCCUCCACACAGAGUGAAGUCCAUCUCAAUGACGACAUUCACACAGCAGGAGAUUGAGUUCCUACAGAAACACAGCAAUGAGGUGUGUAAGCACAUCUGGCUUGGACUGUAUGAUGAUCGCAGUGCUGCAGUGCCGGAUUUUCGAGAGCCUCAGAAACUGAAGGAGUUUCUGCAGGAGAAAUACGAGAAGAAACGAUGGUACGUUCCUCCCGAGCAGGCGAAGAUGUUGGCAUCUGUCCAGGUUCCACACUCAGGAUCUUCAGCGAGCACCAGCAGCACUCCUGAAGUUCAGCCACUUAAAACACUGCAGCUCAACAAAACUCCAUCCAGCCAGUCCCCAGUGAUCAGUCGUUCUCAGCCUCAUGAGAAGAAGUUUGAUCUGUUAUCAGAUCUAGGUGGAGAUAUCUUUGCAGCUCCUCCAUCGCACAGCGCUGGUCCAACAACAAACUUUGCUAACUUUGCACAUUUCAGCAAGCCCUCAGGAGGGGGUGUGUCAGCUCCACCUUUACCCAGUGUUUCAGCAGCAGAUCGAUACGCUGCUCUGGCAGAACUGGACAGUGCUCUCAGCUCCACUACACAGGGCUCCACAGCCGUUCCAGCCCCGCCGGUGAUUCCCAGCAUGCAGCAGGGUUUUACAGCUUCCACAAAUCCGUUUGUCGCUGCACCGAUUCCUCUAGAGUCGAUGUGUACAAAUCCAUUCCAGACCAACAACAGAUCAUCAUCAGCUACAGGCUCCAUGAGCAUGCCGUCAGGUUUCAGUAACACCCCCAGUUUCUGCCUGCCCACCAGUUUCAGUGGGAAUUUCCCCCACCCGUUUCCCCCGGCGUCGUACCAUCAGCAGCCAAACGGUGGGUUUCCUGUUUACACUCAGAAACCUCAGAUGAGUUACGGUCAGCCCGCCGUCUCCAACAACCCCUUUAUGGUGAGCACUUACACUCAUUUAUUUUACUCGUGAGUUCAGUCCGGUCUGAAUCGCUCCGCCAAUACAGUCACCAUGGCAACAGAUAAAGCCACAGCAGCAUUAUUUGGAAUAGUUGUGAUACUUUAUUUUUUGUGGGGGAUUUUUUUUUAAAUAAAUCAGAAUGUGAAUAUUUUAAAUCAGAUUCAUUAAUACAUGUUUGGAGGCGAUGAACUUCUGUUUGUUUUAGCGUUUAUUUAUAUUAAUUACUUUAUUGUGAUUAAUUCAUUAAAUAAUAAGAUUUUUAUGAAGUUUUAUUUAAUUAUUAUUUAAGUUUUUACCUUUUUACAUAUUUUUUAUUUAAAUUAUUUACUGGAAUUUUAUGUAAAAAAUGUGUUUAUCUGUUUAUUUAGUUGAGAGCUUCAUCUCGACACAUUUCCCUGAUGUGCUGUUUCUACUGAUGAACAGGGUGGAGGUCCAGCAAGUCCAUAUUCCACCAGUGGAUCAUCUACUAAUCCGUUCCUGUAAACACACACACACACUUUAUAUUUACAGACACAUCUGGAGAAAGCGGCGUGUUCAGUGUUCCUCGCUGUGUUCAGCCCACGUUGAGUGCAGGUCGAGCUCAGUGUCUUCCUCCAAAUCCUCGCUCAGCUCCUGUAACGCUCCACAUCCACAGUCCAUCCUAUUUAUGGCUUUCACUCAGUAAUUAAUAAUAACAGUGUCUUAGGCCUAGCAGUUCAGUGCUUAUUGCUGUUUGUUAAGUUUAUAAAGAAGCGUUCUUUAUGAUUUAAAAGAAAAUGUUGAGAAGCUGAUUUGAAGCAGCAGUUCGGCCAGAAAUGAAAACGUCCACGAUGUUCCUCUGUUCCUCCGGUCGCUUUUACAAGUGUUGGUCUUUUCAGAUUCAGCUAGAGGGUGUGGCCUAAAGUCUAAAGGCGGAGCUUGUACAUUUUUUUUAUUUGAUUUGAUUUAAUAUAAAUACUAAAAUAUUAAAAGGUAAGUAAACACAAAGCCUUGUAGCUCUAAUGGUAAAAGGACAGUGUGGAUUUUAUCUUUGGCUGAAGCCAACACUCUGAUAGGUGUUUAAUCCACUGACUGGAGCAGAAGGAGGAGGUUUAGAAUGAAAAGAAACUCAGCACAAAGCAGAGGGAGAGAAAAAGAAAAGGAUGGAGCACAAAUAGAGACAGAAGUAAAGAGUUUGGAUCUGCAGGAGCUUCCUGUGUGAGAUCUUCCUCUGGGAAAGUGUGUGUAUAUAAAUAUAAAUAUAUGUAUAAUUAUUAUAUUAAAGAUUUUUAACUACUGUUCCA